RNAcentral lists this ribosomal RNA (1400 nucleotides) under Vibrio sp. 2186. Its description in RNAcentral is "bacterial SSU rRNA". It matches the Rfam family "Bacterial small subunit ribosomal RNA". The record is from RNAcentral. Lineage: Bacteria; Pseudomonadati; Pseudomonadota; Gammaproteobacteria; Vibrionales; Vibrionaceae.
UGAACCUUCGGGGAACGAUAACGGCGUCGAGCGGCGGACGGGUGAGUAAUGCCUAGGAAAUUGCCCUGAUGUGGGGGAUAACCAUUGGAAACGAUGGCUAAUACCGCAUGAUGCCUACGGGCCAAAGAGGGGGACCUUCGGGCCUCUCGCGUCAGGAUAUGCCUAGGUGGGAUUAGCUAGUUGGUGAGGUAAGGGCUCACCAAGGCGACGAUCCCUAGCUGGUCUGAGAGGAUGAUCAGCCACACUGGAACUGAGACACGGUCCAGACUCCUACGGGAGGCAGCAGUGGGGAAUAUUGCACAAUGGGCGCAAGCCUGAUGCAGCCAUGCCGCGUGUGUGAAGAAGGCCUUCGGGUUGUAAAGCACUUUCAGUCGUGAGGAAGGUAGUGUAGUUAAUAGCUGCAUUAUUUGACGUUAGCGACAGAAGAAGCACCGGCUAACUCCGUGCCAGCAGCCGCGGUAAUACGGAGGGUGCGAGCGUUAAUCGGAAUUACUGGGCGUAAAGCGCAUGCAGGUGGUUUGUUAAGUCAGAUGUGAAAGCCCGGGGCUCAACCUCGGAAUAGCAUUUGAAACUGGCAGACUAGAGUACUGUAGAGGGGGGUAGAAUUUCAGGUGUAGCGGUGAAAUGCGUAGAGAUCUGAAGGAAUACCGGUGGCGAAGGCGGCCCCCUGGACAGAUACUGACACUCAGAUGCGAAAGCGUGGGGAGCAAACAGGAUUAGAUACCCUGGUAGUCCACGCCGUAAACGAUGUCUACUUGGAGGUUGUGGCCUUGAGCCGUGGCUUUCGGAGCUAACGCGUUAAGUAGACCGCCUGGGGAGUACGGUCGCAAGAUUAAAACUCAAAUGAAUUGACGGGGGCCCGCACAAGCGGUGGAGCAUGUGGUUUAAUUCGAUGCAACGCGAAGAACCUUACCUACUCUUGACAUCCAGAGAACUUUCCAGAGAUGGAUUGGUGCCUUCGGGAACUCUGAGACAGGUGCUGCAUGGCUGUCGUCAGCUCGUGUUGUGAAAUGUUGGGUUAAGUCCCGCAACGAGCGCAACCCUUAUCCUUGUUUGCCAGCGAGUAAUGUCGGGAACUCCAGGGAGACUGCCGGUGAUAAACCGGAGGAAGGUGGGGACGACGUCAAGUCAUCAUGGCCCUUACGAGUAGGGCUACACACGUGCUACAAUGGCGCAUACAGAGGGCGGCCAACUUGCGAAAGUGAGCGAAUCCCAAAAAGUGCGUCGUAGUCCGGAUUGGAGUCUGCAACUCGACUCCAUGAAGUCGGAAUCGCUAGUAAUCGUGGAUCAGAAUGCCACGGUGAAUACGUUCCCGGGCCUUGUACACACCGCCCGUCACACCAUGGGAGUGGGCUGCAAAAGAAGUAGGUAGUUUAACCUUCGGGGGGACGCUUACCACU